RNAcentral lists this ribosomal RNA (1561 nucleotides) under Escherichia coli. Its description in RNAcentral is "partial 23S ribosomal RNA". It matches the Rfam family "Bacterial large subunit ribosomal RNA", at positions 1273 to 2817 of the family's 2925-position model. The record is from RNAcentral. Lineage: Bacteria; Pseudomonadati; Pseudomonadota; Gammaproteobacteria; Enterobacterales; Enterobacteriaceae.
CUGGAGGUAUCAGAAGUGCGAAUGCUGACAUAAGUAACGAUAAAGCGGGUGAAAAGCCCGCUCGCCGGAAGACCAAGGGUUCCUGUCCAACGUUAAUCGGGGCAGGGUGAGUCGACCCCUAAGGCGAGGCCGAAAGGCGUAGUCGAUGGGAAACAGGUUAAUAUUCCUGUACUUGGUGUUACUGCGAAGGGGGGACGGAGAAGGCUAUGUUGGCCGGGCGACGGUUGUCCCGGUUUAAGCGUGUAGGCUGGUUUUCCAGGCAAAUCCGGAAAAUCAAGGCUGAGGCGUGAUGACGAGGCACUACGGUGCUGAAGCAACAAAUGCCCUGCUUCCAGGAAAAGCCUCUAAGCAUCAGGUAACAUCAAAUCGUACCCCAAACCGACACAGGUGGUCAGGUAGAGAAUACCAAGGCGCUUGAGAGAACUCGGGUGAAGGAACUAGGCAAAAUGGUGCCGUAACUUCGGGAGAAGGCACGCUGAUAUGUAGGUGAAGUCCCUCGCGGAUGGAGCUGAAAUCAGUCGAAGAUACCAGCUGGCUGCAACUGUUUAUUAAAAACACAGCACUGUGCAAACACGAAAGUGGACGUAUACGGUGUGACGCCUGCCCGGUGCCGGAAGGUUAAUUGAUGGGGUUAGCCGCAAGGCGAAGCUCUUGAUCGAAGCCCCGGUAAACGGCGGCCGUAACUAUAACGGUCCUAAGGUAGCGAAAUUCCUUGUCGGGUAAGUUCCGACCUGCACGAAUGGCGUAAUGAUGGCCAGGCUGUCUCCACCCGAGACUCAGUGAAAUUGAACUCGCUGUGAAGAUGCAGUGUACCCGCGGCAAGACGGAAAGACCCCGUGAACCUUUACUAUAGCUUGACACUGAACAUUGAGCCUUGAUGUGUAGGAUAGGUGGGAGGCUUGGAAGUGUGGACGCCAGUCUGCAUGGAGCCGACCUUGAAAUACCACCCUUUAAUGUUUGAUGUUCUAACGUUGACCCGUAAUCCGGGUUGCGGACAGUGUCUGGUGGGUAGUUUGACUGGGGCGGUCUCCUCCUAAAGAGUAACGGAGGAGCACGAAGGUUGGCUAAUCCUGGUCGGACAUCAGGAGGUUAGUGCAAUGGCAUAAGCCAGCUUGACUGCGAGCGUGACGGCGCGAGCAGGUGCGAAAGCAGGUCAUAGUGAUCCGGUGGUUCUGAAUGGAAGGGCCAUCGCUCAACGGAUAAAAGGUACUCCGGGGAUAACAGGCUGAUACCGCCCAAGAGUUCAUAUCGACGGCGGUGUUUGGCACCUCGAUGUCGGCUCAUCACAUCCUGGGGCUGAAGUAGGUCCCAAGGGUAUGGCUGUUCGCCAUUUAAAGUGGUACGCGAGCUGGGUUUAGAACGUCGUGAGACAGUUCGGUCCCUAUCUGCCGUGGGCGCUGGAGAACUGAGGGGGGCUGCUCCUAGUACGAGAGGACCGGAGUGGACGCAUCACUGGUGUUCGGGUUGUCAUGCCAAUGGCACUGCCCGGUAGCUAAAUGCGGAAGAGAUAAGUGCUGAAAGCAUCUAAGCACGAAACUUGCCCCGAGAUGAGUUCUCCCUG